This 465-nucleotide ribosomal RNA is filed under the name uncultured bacterium. RNAcentral's name for it is "partial 16S ribosomal RNA". It matches the Rfam family "Bacterial small subunit ribosomal RNA", at positions 28 to 507 of the family's 1533-position model. The record is from RNAcentral.
GACGAACGCUGGCGGCGUGCUUAACACAUGCAAGUCGAACGGAAAGGCCCUGCUUGCAGGGUACUCGAGUGGCGAACGGGUGAGUAACACGUGGGUGAUCUGCCCUGCACUUCGGGAUAAGCCUGGGAAACUGGGUCUAAUACCGGAUAGGAGCCAUUUUUAGUGUGAUGGUUGGAAAGUUUUUUCGGUGUAGGAUGAGCUCGCGGCCUAUCAGCUUGUUGGUGGGGUAAUGGCCUACCAAGGCGGCGACGGGUAGCCGGCCUGAGAGGGUGGACGGCCACAUUGGGACUGAGAUACGGCCCCGGCUCCUACGGGAGGCCGCAGUGGGGAAUCUUGCCCGAUGGGCGCCAGCCUGAUGCAGCGACGCCGCGUGGGGGAUGACGGCCUUCGGGUUGUAAACUCCUUUCGCUAGGGACGAAGCUUUUUGUGACGGUACCUAGAUAAGAAGCCCCGGCUAACUACGUG